UCCAAGGUGUAGAACGGAAAUACCCGGGAGGU
This 32-nucleotide non-coding RNA is filed under the name Mus musculus (house mouse). Lineage: Eukaryota; Metazoa; Chordata; Mammalia; Rodentia; Muridae. The record is from RNAcentral.